AACUAGAAUCGGCUGGGCCGCGCUAUGAAUUCUGGCAUAGGGUGGGCCACGAAGGAUACACCUGACCCAUCCUUCAAAGCUGUGGAAAGUAUUGUAUUGUUUUGAGAGCCUUUUUGUUGGUGGAGUAUUGAUUUUAUGUACAAUUCCAUGGGUAGACGCGAUCUGUAUGGUCAGACUUUGCAAAUGCACAGUAAGGAUCGGGGAGUCCGAUCCGUAACUUUUUUUUCUCGUUUUUUUCUACAUAAUAUUGAAAUGUUUCAUUAUUGCAAACAUUUUCUCUCAGGCGGAGAGAGGUCGUGGAGUGUCAGCCUAUGGUAUCUGAGGUCCAGGAGAGAUGACCUGCGCUGUUUUCCUCUGAGGAGAUAUCUGAAAAAUUUCAUCGGAUCACAAGCAAAGACCUCCUGGGGACCUUCAAUGCAUCCCUUGACAAAUUUGGGCCUGGCCUGCUGAAACUGUACUGGUCUAAGAAGGGAGUUCUUUGUGAGGAGAUGGAAGACCUCCUGGAUAAACUUGAUGAACAGACAUCCAACACUGUGUCCAACUUGCACUGAGAGGCCUGCCCAUUUUCCUCAAGGGAAGAUGCAACAGGUUUUCCUGAAGUGCUUAGACACUGACAUUUUGGAACCAGUGUUGAACGGUGCAUCAGUUGCCAUCCUCACCAUCCUACAAGAUGAUGAUGCCGAUAUGUCUGUGCGAGAACAUGCAGUUGUGUUGGAAGGGGACAUCGUGCUACAGAACAUUCCAGAUCUCUCUACUGCCCUGGCAUACCUCUUUGGCCUUCUGUAUGCCCUCAACAUUGAUCAUCCAAAGCAGAUGAGUUUUACCUUUGAAGCAAUUCAGGACAUCUUAUUUUGACCUGGUCGGACAAUAUGAAGGCGAAGUGGAUAAAUCAUUAUUCGAAAUGUAAAUUUUAGUCAGAUGAAUCUGUAUUGUUGACAAUAUAUGGUGAAAAUUUGUCUUGUAGUAUUGUAAAAAACUUGUUAUAGUGUUAGUUUCCUCCUCAUUGAUGGUAACAUUUCUAAUAACUUUUAACUUCCAUAGUUCAUCAUAGUAAGCCUGUGUAAAAUGUCAAUGUCUGGGUACAUAGGCAAUCGUUUGUAGCACUACCCUAUUUAAUGUGCAAUAGUAAUGUUCAGCUUUUAGAAGACGGUCAGGGUGUGUGUGUGUGAAUUAUUAAGUUGCUGGACACUUUUCUUUUUUGGUUCUGGACUCUGGAAUUUUAACGUCUCUGCUGGGGUGCUCAAAGCACCCAAAAGAAACUGGCAACACGUUUUUGUUUGUUUGUUAUUUCUUUUCUUUCUUUCUUUUUGUUUUUUUUUAACAGAAAUUCACCCUACUACCCAUGACAUUCUGAAAUGUACUGAAAAGACUGUUG
Oreochromis niloticus (Nile tilapia) is the source of this 1375-nucleotide long non-coding RNA. RefSeq lists it as uncharacterized. The transcript is spliced from 4 exons. The record is from RefSeq and is a predicted model, not a curated record. NCBI's taxonomy places the organism in Eukaryota, Metazoa, Chordata, Actinopteri, Cichliformes, Cichlidae.